CCUACGGGUGGCAGCAGUGGGGAAUAUUGGGCAAUGGGCGCAAGCCUGACCCAGCAACGCCGCGUGAAGGAAGAAGGCUUUCGGGUUGUAAACUUCUUUUCUCAGGGACGAAGCAAGUGACGGUACCUGAGGAAUAAGCCACGGCUAACUACGUGCCAGCAGCCGCGGUAAUACGUAGGUGGCAAGCGUUAUCCGGAUUUACUGGGUGUAAAGGGCGUGUAGGCGGGAAAGCAAGUCAGAUGUGAAAACCAUGGGCUCAACCUGUGGCCUGCAGUGGAAACUGUUUUGCUUGAGUGCUGGAGAGGCAGGCGGAAUUCCUGGUGUAGCGGUGAAAUGCGUAGAUAUUAGGAGGAACACCAGUGGCGAAGGCGGUCUGCUGGACAGCAACUGACGCUGAGGCGCGAAAGCGUGGGGAGCAAACAGGAUUAGAUACCCCAGUAGUC
RNAcentral lists this ribosomal RNA (443 nucleotides) under uncultured bacterium. RNAcentral's name for it is "partial 16S ribosomal RNA". It matches the Rfam family "Bacterial small subunit ribosomal RNA", at positions 338 to 795 of the family's 1533-position model. The record is from RNAcentral.